GAGGGGCGACACGAGGGAGGAAAGGGGCUGGAUCGAGGUUGACUUAAUUCAGGGAAGCUGAAGGAGGCGGGGAGGGGGCCGGGGAAAGGGCGUGGCUAACAGCCAUCGCCCACCCGCUCUUGCUCGGCCGGCCUCAGGCGUCUUAUUGUCGUUUGGCUGCGAAAGACCGAGAACGAUGCGAGUGAAUAGAGGGCGUGGCUUUGUGGAAGGAGGGCCGUUACAGCUCCUCUCUCUCUCCGAUUCCGCCUUUUCCUAAUGAAAAGCUCUCCGGGCUCCGUUGCGCUUUAAAGAUCCAUUAUCCGCAUCCGCCAGGGUAACGCUGUUGUUGUUCAGGGUGGGAAAAAUCGAUGUGGGUAGAGCUGCUGCGCCCGGAGCUAGAUUAGCCAAGACUGUAUAAAACAAUUUAUUUCGUAAUCUUAUUCGCGCUGUGGUUUCAUCGCGCCUAAUUCUCUGCCGCGUAAAAAGCUUUGGAAGAUAAGAAAUGUUCUCUUCAAAUCUAUGGUUAAGCCUAGCCAUAUUUUAGAACCUCUUUGCUGGAACAUCUGUUUGGUUCAACAUUCUGUUCCUUUUGAGGCUAAUCCAAGUAGGAUAUGGAUGUCAUCACAUCUUUCUGCCUUGUUCUACCACAGUUUGAGCAGGCACCAUCUCUUGACAAAGGCAGUGCCGGUCUACCUGCAGGGUUCAGAGAGGUCUCCUGGACUCCUACUGUGAGCCUGGCAAGAUAGAAGAGUUUUCUCCAUUGCCCUUCUUCUCAUCAGAAAGAAAAAUCCCUUUGGCCAGAUGUUGGUUUUGUUAUAAGUAAUAAAUUAUGUGCUAGUAAACUGA
Pantherophis guttatus is the source of this 825-nucleotide non-coding RNA. The record is from RefSeq and is a predicted model, not a curated record. Lineage: Eukaryota; Metazoa; Chordata; Lepidosauria; Squamata; Colubridae.